Molecule: RNA transcript, 2163 nt
Organism: Danaus plexippus (monarch butterfly)
Lineage: Eukaryota; Metazoa; Arthropoda; Insecta; Lepidoptera; Nymphalidae
Exons: 7
Source: RefSeq, a predicted model, not a curated record
AUAUUUUAAGGUACUUUUAAGUGAGUAAUAAUGACGUGAUUUUGUUUAUACAUAUUUUAAAAGCAUUUGUGCGUUUUAUAAAAAUCGAUAACAUCUUAUCUUAUCUACCUGAAUCUAUUAUUUUAAAAAGCGCGCCAAACCUUUUAGUCACUCUCAGUUGUUAUAAGUCGGUGCACGUGACAUAGCAGUAAUAAUGUGUUUGAGUUGUGUGUGCAGUUUGCUGUGUAAGCUUAUUAGCUUCUUCCUAUCCCUGAUUAUCAUCGUGGGAAUCAUCUUGAUAAUUUUGUGGCAAACUGGCGUUAUCUUCAAAGAGGACGGUGGCAAUAACAAUACGCUGAAUAGUUUGUUGUCGGGGACGGCGGGUCACUGACACCUGAAUCACGAUUUAAUAAUAAUUAAGUUAGAUUAAUUGUGCCUUUGCAUUAUAUACAGUCCAUUAAACCAGGUGAAGUCGCCGUUAUGUCAACACCAAAAAACAUCUUUAUAAGAGAGUUAAUUUAUUAAAGAAGAUGUGGGUAUGACGAGUUAAUAAUGGUUUUUUCAAAUUAAAAAUUAUUAAACUCGUUAAACAUGCUUUACAUACAUAGAUUUAUGCAUUACAUGUAUAGCUUUAAGGUGAUCAAAUGCAUUUUCUUAUAAAAAACCUAUUCAACAAAAUUAUCUCUGAUAAUAAUUAGUACCUUACCAGGAGGAAGUAUGCAUAUAAUACUACUUAUGAACUAUUUAUUUAAAUGUAGCUAAUAAUAGAUAUAUUUAUGAUAUCUAUUUUUAUUAUAUUUAUAUGAAUAGUAGGCUCUUUAUAUUCAAAUAUGAUUUGUUAUGUUCUACUUAAUUCUCAAGUAAUCUUACUAUUUUUUCUUAAUUUAUCUUUGCUACCAAUGUAUUAGUCCUCUUUAGAUUUUUCUUUUUAUGAUGUAAAGAAAGCACCGUAAUUUUGGUUAUAUCUAAAAUUUUAUGGUCGCAUUUUAACGAUAAGUAUUGUUGAAGGCAUAACAAAAAUGCAAGAUGUAUAAUUGAGCAUUAACUGAGAGCAUUUUUAUUAUAAAGGGAUGGUACUAGCACAAGGUUGUUAUGAGUUCUUGCGCUGUGUUAACCUGUGAUACAUUAUGAAGUGACGUCAUUCAUAGUCUAUUGUUUGUAUUUUCUCAUGCCUAAAUUAUAUUUUAAGUUUAUAAAUAUGUAUAUUAUUGCGUAAAAAAAAUGCAAGAUUAUGUGCAUUACACUUCAAUCUUUUUACGAACAUUCCUGAAAUACCCAUUACAAGAAUUUUUGUAUAACAAGUUUAGCAAUGUAUAAAACGAGAUAUAAGACAAAAUAUUCAUUGUAAACCGAUAUUCUGAAUGGUUCACAUAAUCUUAAUGAAAAAGUUAUUGUGUGAACUAAAUUAUUUUUUUUAAUCUUUUGCAGCAUUUUAUCGUUAUUAAAUAGUCUAUAUAUCAUUGAGCUUCAUUUUAAUCACACUAUAAUAUACCAGAAAGAUUUUAAACAACCUUAUUAUUUUCUUCUUUUCUUGAUGGUAACAAUUGAUUUUAUUUUAUAAAAUUAAGUAUUAUUAAUUUGUAACUUCUCAAAAGUAAACCACAUAAAACCUUUACAAAUAUACAUAAUAAAUCUUUAAAGGUGUCACUAUUUUCAUUCUGACAUUUGGAGAAAGCUAAUAUUUAUUAAACUAUUCCGUAAAUUAACUUGCAAGUUUUUGUUUCUUUGGAUUCGAUUUAAAACUGAGACUCAAAUCAGAGGUUGGAUAUCUUGGGAAUAUAAAAGAUAUUCAACGUCAGAACUAAAUAGUUGAAAAAUAUGUGUUGCAUUUUUAAUUUUUGUUUCCAAACUGUUCAAGCUGCGAUAUAUGUCGCUAUUUUAGCCGGAGCUGGAUAUUUUGUUUAUAAAUACACUAAUGAUUUGAUGGCUGUUUACAAGGUGAUGUAGGACCCAAUAAAUGCGACAUUCUGAUAUUCAUAAAUGACUUACGAAGUAAACGAAAGAAGAAACUUUUAUUACAAUGUCUUGCAGAUAGAAUACGAUACCUACUGCGAGCAAAAUAUGGAACGUAAAGAAUUGGACUUAGUGAAGACAUUCAAGAUUAAAGACAAAAAUUUUCUAUCGGUGUACUGGAAGUUAACUAAUAUAACCAGUACAAGAUUGAAUUUACUACACAAAAAGCCA